GACGUAGGGCGCGAGCGUUGUCCGGAUUUAUUGGGCGUAAAGAGCGUGUAGGCGGCCAGGUAGGUCUGGUGUGAAAACUCGAGGCUUAACCUCGAGAUGUCAUCGGAAACCAUCUGGCUAGAGUCCGGAAGAGGAGAGUGGAAUUCCUGGUGUAGCGGUGAAAUGCGCAGAUAUCAGGAGGAACACCGAUGGCGAAGGCAGCCCCCUGGGCUGAGAUUGACGCUCAGGCACGAAAGCGUGGGGAGCAAACAGG
Molecule: ribosomal RNA, 253 nt
Filed under: uncultured bacterium
Lineage: Bacteria
Description: partial 16S ribosomal RNA
Rfam family: Bacterial small subunit ribosomal RNA
Source: RNAcentral